RNAcentral lists this ribosomal RNA (758 nucleotides) under Bacillus subtilis. Its description in RNAcentral is "bacterial SSU rRNA". It matches the Rfam family "Bacterial small subunit ribosomal RNA", at positions 18 to 759 of the family's 1533-position model. Lineage: Bacteria; Bacillati; Bacillota; Bacilli; Caryophanales; Bacillaceae. The record is from RNAcentral.
UUCUGCUCAGACGAACGCUGGCGGCGUGCCUAAUACAUGCAAGUCGAGCGGACAGAUGGGAGCUUGCUCCCUGAUGUUAGCGGCGGACGGGUGAGUAACACGUGGGUAACCUGCCUGUAAGACUGGGAUAACUCCGGGAAACCGGGGCUAAUACCGGAUGGUUGUUUGAACCGCAUGGUUCAAACAUAAAAGGUGGCUUCGGCUACCACUUACAGAUGGACCCGCGGCGCAUUAGCUAGUUGGUGAGGUAAUGGCUCACCAAGGCAACGAUGCGUAGCCGACCUGAGAGGGUGAUCGGCCACACUGGGACUGAGACACGGCCCAGACUCCUACGGGAGGCAGCAGUAGGGAAUCUUCCGCAAUGGACGAAAGUCUGACGGAGCAACGCCGCGUGAGUGAUGAAGGUUUUCGGAUCGUAAAGCUCUGUUGUUAGGGAAGAACAAGUACCGUUCGAAUAGGGCGGUACCUUGACGGUACCUAACCAGAAAGCCACGGCUAACUACGUGCCAGCAGCCGCGGUAAUACGUAGGUGGCAAGCGUUGUCCGGAAUUAUUGGGCGUAAAGGGCUCGCAGGCGGUUUCUUAAGUCUGAUGUGAAAGCCCCCGGCUCAACCGGGGAGGGUCAUUGGAAACUGGGGAACUUGAGUGCAGAAGAGGAGAGUGGAAUUCCACGUGUAGCGGUGAAAUGCGUAGAGAUGUGGAGGAACACCAGUGGCGAAGGCGACUCUCUGGUCUGUAACUGACGCUGAGGAGCGAAAG